Molecule: ribosomal RNA, 429 nt
Filed under: uncultured bacterium
Lineage: Bacteria
Description: bacterial SSU rRNA
Rfam family: Bacterial small subunit ribosomal RNA
Source: RNAcentral
UGGGGAAUCUUGCGCAAUGGGCGAAAGCCUGACGCAGCGACGCCGCGUGGAGGAUGAAGGUCUUAGGAUUGUAAACUUCUGUUAAGUGGGAGGAAAUGCCGAUUAAUAAUACGAAUCGGAGCUGACUGUACCAUUAGAGAAAGCACCGGCUAAACUCGUGCCAGCAGCCGCGGUAAUACGAGUGGUGCAAGCGUUAUUCGGAAUCAUUGGGCGUAAAGGGUGUGUAGACGGCAUGUUAAGUCAAUUGUUAAAUUCUUCGGCCUAACCGGAGGCAAACAAUAGAUACUGGCGUGCUAGAGGGUGGAAGAGAGAAGUGGAAUUCUCGGAGUAGCGGUAAAAUGCGUAGAUCUCGAGAGGAACACCAAUGGCGAAGGCAGCUUCUUGGUCCAUUUCUGACGUUGAAACACGAAAGCGUGGGGAGCAAACAGG